Molecule: ribosomal RNA, 665 nt
Filed under: Halobacillus faecis
Lineage: Bacteria; Bacillati; Bacillota; Bacilli; Caryophanales; Bacillaceae
Description: bacterial SSU rRNA
Rfam family: Bacterial small subunit ribosomal RNA
Source: RNAcentral
CAGUCGAGCGCGGGAAGCGAGUGGAUCCCUUCGGGGUGAAGCUCGUGGAACGAGCGGCGGACGGGUGAGUAACACGUGGGCAACCUGCCUGUAAGAUCGGAAUAACCCCGGGAAACCGGGGCUAAUGCCGGGUAAUACUUUCUUUCGCAUGAAGGAAAGUUGAAAGAUGGCUUCUUGCUAUCACUUACAGAUGGGCCCGCGGCGCAUUAGCUAGUUGGUGAGGUAACGGCUCACCAAGGCGACGAUGCGUAGCCGACCUGAGAGGGUGAUCGGCCACACUGGGACUGAGACACGGCCCAGACUCCUACGGGAGGCAGCAGUAGGGAAUCUUCCGCAAUGGACGAAAGUCUGACGGAGCAACGCCGCGUGAACGAUGAAGGUCUUCGGAUCGUAAAGUUCUGUUGUUAGGGAAGAACAAGUACCGUUCAAACAGGGCGGUACCUUGACGGUACCUAACGAGGAAGCCCCGGCUAACUACGUGCCAGCAGCCGCGGUAAUACGUAGGGGGCAAGCGUUGUCCGGAAUUAUUGGGCGUAAAGCGCGCGCAGGCGGUUCCUUAAGUCUGAUGUGAAAGCCCACGGCUCAACCGUGGAGGGUCAUUGGAAACUGGGGAACUUGAGGACAGAAGAGGAGAGUGGAAUUCCACGUGUAGCGGUGAAAUGCGU